This is a regulatory RNA element of Oryctolagus cuniculus (rabbit), 47 nucleotides long. It matches the Rfam family "Histone 3' UTR stem-loop". From Rfam's summary of the family: The mRNAs of metazoan histone genes lack a poly-A tail. 3' end processing occurs at a site between a highly conserved stem-loop (modelled by this family) and a purine rich region around 20 nts downstream (the histone downstream element, or HDE). The stem-loop is bound by a 31 kDa stem-loop binding protein (SLBP - also termed the histone hairpin binding protein, or HBP). Lineage: Eukaryota; Metazoa; Chordata; Mammalia; Lagomorpha; Leporidae. The record is from Rfam.
CCAAAGGCUCUUUUCAGAGCCACCUCCCUGGUCGGAAAAAGGGCUAU